CUGCGAGUGAAGCGGGAAGAGCUCAAAUUUUGAAUCUGGCAGUCCUUGGCUGUCCGAGUUGUAAUCUAGAGAAGUGUUUUCCGCGCUGGACCGUGUAUAAGUCUCCUGGAAGGGAGCGUCGUAGAGGGUGAGAAUCCCGUCUUUGACAUGGACUACCAGUGCUAUGUGAUGCGCUCUCGACGAGUCGAGUUGUUUGGGAAUGCAGCUCAAAAUGGGUGGUAAACUCCAUCUAAAGCUAAAUACAGGCGAGAGACCGAUAGCGAACAAGUACCGUGAGGGAAAGAUGAAAAGAACUUUGGAAAGAGAGUUAAACAGUACGUGAAAUUGCUGAAAGGGAAACGCUUGAUGUCAGUCGCGUUGGCUGGGGAUCAACCUUGCUUCUCGCUGGGUGUACUUCCCGGUCGACGGGUCAGCGUCAGUUUCAGUCGCCGUACAAGGGCAAGGGGAACGUGGCACUCCUCGGAGUGUGUUUAUAGCCUUUCGUCAUAUGCGGUGGUUGGGACUGAGGAGCUCAGCACGGCUUCUUGCUUGUGCUCAGGAUGCUGGCAUAAUGGCCUUAAGCGACCCGUCUUGAAACACGGACCAAGGAGUCUAACAUGCCUGCGAGUGUUUGGGUGGUAAACCCGAGCGCGUAAUGAAAGUGAAAGUUGAGACCUCUGUCGUGGAGGGCAUCGACGCCCGGACCUGAGUCUUUGACGACGGAUCUGCGGUAGAGCAUGUAUGUUGGGACCCGAAAGAUGGUGAACUAUGCCUGAAUAGGGUGAAGCCAGAGGAAACUCUGGUGGAGGCUCGUAGCGAUUCUGACGUGCAAAUCGAUCGUCGAAUUUGGGUAUA
This 834-nucleotide ribosomal RNA is filed under the name Lanmaoa rubissima. RNAcentral's name for it is "LSU rRNA". It matches the Rfam family "Eukaryotic large subunit ribosomal RNA", at positions 87 to 919 of the family's 3401-position model. The record is from RNAcentral. Lineage: Eukaryota; Fungi; Basidiomycota; Agaricomycetes; Boletales; Boletaceae.